Molecule: ribosomal RNA, 404 nt
Filed under: Coprococcus sp.
Lineage: Bacteria; Bacillati; Bacillota; Clostridia; Lachnospirales; Lachnospiraceae
Also listed under: 3 other names
Description: bacterial SSU rRNA
Rfam family: Bacterial small subunit ribosomal RNA
Source: RNAcentral
UGGGGAAUAUUGCACAAUGGGGGAAACCCUGAUGCAGCGACGCCGCGUGAGUGAUGAAGUAUUUCGGUAUGUAAAGCUCUAUCAGCAGGGAAGAUAAUGACGGUACCUGACUAAGAAGCACCGGCUAAAUACGUGCCAGCAGCCGCGGUAAUACGUAUGGUGCAAGCGUUAUCCGGAUUUACUGGGUGUAAAGGGUGCGUAGGUGGUGAGACAAGUCUGAAGUGAAAAUCCGGGGCUUAACCCCGGAACUGCUUUGGAAACUGCCUGACUAGAGUACAGGAGAGGUAAGUGGAAUUCCUAGUGUAGCGGUGAAAUGCGUAGAUAUUAGGAGGAACACCAGUGGCGAAGGCGACUUACUGGACUGCUACUGACACUGAGGCACGAAAGCGUGGGGAGCAAACAGG